CAACCACUGAAAACCACAGCAACCACAGCGAACAUGAUUACUAGAGACACUUCAGAUGUAUUCCUAAGAAGUGAAGAAUGCCCGGCAUCAGUGCUAUUUCAAAAAUAAAAAUAAAAAGAGAAUUACACAUUAGUAAAGGGCAGGGGGAAGAUUUGCAGAGGGGAACCUUCCUGGGUGGCUCAGUUGGUUAGGUGUCUGCCUUUGGCUCAUGUCAUGAUCCCAAGGGUCCUGGAAUCGAGUACCACAUCCGGCUCUGCUCACGGGGACCCUGCUUCUCUCUCUGCCUCUGCCUCUCUCUCUGAUGGAUAAAUAAAUAAAAUCUUAAAAAAAAAGAUUUGCAGAAAAUCUCACUACAUUGAAAAUCUAAAGGAAUCACUUAAUUGGAGUUUACCAUGGUGGUCAAAUAAAGGCCUAAAGAAGGACUGACUGGAGGAGCUAGACCACUUUAAAGGACUGGCAAGAAUGUCAGGGGAGAAUCCUUGCAAGGGCUCCAGGAACAAGGGGAGGGGCAGGCAGGUCCCCCCGGUGCUUGUUGUGGGGUUCGCGCCCACCCGCACACUCGCCUUUCCGGCUCAAAUAUUCAGCAGUCGUAACAGGUACUGGAUCUGUUCCAACCUGCAGCCACGCCCUCAGGAGUAGGCCCCGCCCGCGGCGCUGGUUCUAACUUCCGCCAAGUCUGCGGGCCCAAUUCCGUCCCCGCUCCCGCGCCCGGCCCACCCCGGUCCGCCCACAGCCACGCGGGAGGAAAUUAGAAGUUUCCCGCCUGAGGUGGUCGGAUGGGGCCGACGCCCGGAAAGCGGGGGCCGCCCCUUCCGGCCUCAGACAGGAAGCGGAAGUGGGGUCACGCAGGCCCAGGGGUCUUUUCCGCCGCUGGUCAGGUUUCGCUUUGGCUGUGGGUCACCGCAGGCCAGGAGCCUGCAAAGCAACCUUUGUGACUUUUCUCCAGGGGGGAAGAACUUCCGCCGGUCGAGUUGGCCGAUUCUGGGCGUGUCCUCGCGUCCUUGCGGACCACGCGGUUCCGGCGCAUUCUGGGAAAUGGAAGCAUAUGUAGGCCACAGUCUUUUUGCUAAAGAAAAACAAGAAUACUCACCUGUGUCUUCAUCUGAACGUCGUUAAGACUACAACCCCACAAAACUUUAAAUGAAGGGCCUCUAACAAAAACAAAUGGAGGCUUUUUUGUCCUAGUUCUGGAAUAAUUGAACUUCCCAGUAACAGGAUAUUUUGACUACGUGUAUUUUUUUCCUUUGAAAAAUCUUUAACCUAAAUAAAAUAUGAACAUACAGUACUAUGAAUUUCCA
RNAcentral lists this long non-coding RNA (1298 nucleotides) under Ursus maritimus (polar bear). RNAcentral's name for it is "lncRNA (ENSUMAG00000014238.1)". The record is from RNAcentral. Lineage: Eukaryota; Metazoa; Chordata; Mammalia; Carnivora; Ursidae.